UACAGAGGUCCCGAGCGUUGUUCGGAUUCACUGGGCGUAAAGGGUGCGUAGGCGGUCGGGUAAGUCUGAUGUGAAAUCUCACAGCUUAACUGUGAAACUGCAUUGGAUACUAUUCGGCUUGAGGUCUGGAGGGGGGACUGGAAUUCUCGGUGUAGCAGUGAAAUGCGUAGAUAUCGAGAGGAACACCUGUGGCGAAAGCGGCUCACUGGACCACAACUGACGCUGAGGCGCGAAAGCUAGGGGAGCAAACAGG
Molecule: ribosomal RNA, 253 nt
Filed under: uncultured bacterium
Lineage: Bacteria
Description: partial 16S ribosomal RNA
Rfam family: Bacterial small subunit ribosomal RNA
Source: RNAcentral